CAAGUCGAGCGGGAUCGGGAAUAGYAAUGUUCCCGUGAGAGCGGCGGAAGGGUGAGUAUCGCGUGGGUGACCUGCCCACCGGGUGGGGAUAACCCUCUGAAAGGAGGGCUAAUACCGAAUGUGGUUAGGGACGGCAUCGUCCCUGGACUAAAGGCCGGGAUCCGCAAGGACCGGCCCCCGGAGGAUGGGCCCGCGUGCCAUCAGCUUGUUGGCGGGGUAACGGCCCACCAAGGCGAUGACGGCUAGCUGGUCUGAGAGGACGACCAGCCACACUGGGACUGAGAUACUGCCCAGACUCCUACGGGAGGCUGCAGUCGAGGAUCAUUCGCAAUGGGGGAAACCCUGACGAUGCGACGCUGCGUGGAGGAUGAAGGCCCUCGGGUCGUAAACUCCUGUCAUGCGGGGCGAAGCGGAGCGAGUUAACAGCUCGCCGAGCGGACGGUACCGCAAGAGGAAGCCACGGCUAACUCUGUGCCAGCAGCCGCGGUAAUACAGAGGUGGCGAGCGUUGUUCGGAUUUACUGGGCGUAAAGGGCGCGUAGGCGGCCUUGUAUGUCGGGUGUGAAAUCUCCGGGCCCAACCCGGAAAGUGCGCCCGAAACUGCAAGGCUCGAGGACGGAAUGGGAGUGCGGAAUGCAGGGUGUAGCGGUGAAAUGCGUUGAUCUCCUGCAGAACACCGGUGGCGAAGGCGGCACUCUGGGACGUAUCUGACGCUGAGGCGCGAAAGCAGGGGGAGCAAACAGGAUUAGAUACCCUGGUAGUCCCUGCCCUAAACGGUGUGCACUUGCCGUGGCCGGUUUUCACCCCGGCCGUGGCGGAGCUAACGCGUUAAGUGCACCGCCUGGGGAGUACGGCCGCAAGGCUAAAACUCAAAGAAAUUGACGGGGGCCCGCACAAGCGGAGGAGCAUGUGGCUUAAUUCGAUGCAACGCGAAGAACCUUACCCGGGUUUGACAUGCAGCUGCAAGUCCCAUGAAAGUGGGAUCCCUUCGAGGGUGCUGCACAGGUGCUGCAUGGCUGUCGUCAGUUCGUGCCGUGAGGUGUUUGGUUAAGUCCAGCAACGAACGCAACCCCUGCGCCUAGUUACCAGCGAGUAACGUCGGGGACUCUAGGCGGACCGCCCGUGCAAGCGGGAGGAAGGUGGGGAUGACGUCAAGUCAGCAUGGCCCUUACGCCCGGGGCUGCACACGUGCUACAAUGGCCGGCACAAUGGGACGCAAAACCGCAAGGUCACGCAAACCCCCAGAACCGGCCCCAGUUCGGAUUGGAGUCUGCAACUCGACUCCAUGAAGCCGGAUUCGCUAGUAACGGCGCAUCAGCUACGGCGCCGUGAAUACGUUCCCGGGCCUUGUACACACCGCCCGUCACAUCAUGAAAGCCGUCUGCACCCGAAGCCGGCCAGCCAACCCGCAAGGGAGGCGCCCGUCUAAGGUGUGGGUGGUGAUUGGGAUG
Molecule: ribosomal RNA, 1450 nt
Filed under: uncultured Verrucomicrobiota bacterium
Lineage: Bacteria; Pseudomonadati; Verrucomicrobiota
Description: bacterial SSU rRNA
Rfam family: Bacterial small subunit ribosomal RNA
Source: RNAcentral